Molecule: transfer RNA, 71 nt
Filed under: Loxodonta africana (African savanna elephant)
Lineage: Eukaryota; Metazoa; Chordata; Mammalia; Proboscidea; Elephantidae
Rfam family: tRNA
About the family: Transfer RNA (tRNA) molecules are approximately 80 nucleotides in length.
Source: Rfam by way of RNAcentral
ACAUUGGUGGUUCAGUGAUGGAAUUCUCUCCUCUCACGUGGGAGACCAGGGUUCAAUUCCUGGCCAGUGUA